Non-coding RNA from Potamilus streckersoni, 73 nucleotides. The record is from the annotation of a GenBank genome assembly. Lineage: Eukaryota; Metazoa; Mollusca; Bivalvia; Unionida; Unionidae.
GCUUCGGUGGCUUAGUGGUUGGAGCGUCCGCCUCGGAUGCGGGAGAUCGCGGGUUCCAUCUCUUUUCGAGUCA